This 1103-nucleotide long non-coding RNA is filed under the name Monodelphis domestica (gray short-tailed opossum). RNAcentral's name for it is "lncRNA (ENSMODG00000048653.1)". The record is from RNAcentral. Lineage: Eukaryota; Metazoa; Chordata; Mammalia; Didelphimorphia; Didelphidae.
CAAGGAGUUCUUUGAGCCAGGCCUGUUUUUAGAAUUGAUACAAUGGGAUGCUAGGUACCUAAAAGGGUCGGGCAAGUUUUGUCUUAAUGAGAUUAGUUGACUCAGCUGUGUUUUCUCUCGUUCAGACUUACUGAGGAACUUGGUGGACACAGCAGCAUUUUUUCUGAUUCAGACUUACUGAGGAGAUUGGUCUACUUAGCAGGAAUUUAGAUGGGCAGUCCUUUGGAAAGCAUCUACAGUGAUUGGUAGAUGUAGGGACUUAGGGGAGGUAACAUGGGAGAAAAACCCCUAUAUAAGAAAAAGCAGAAUCCUUUUGGAGAUAUCCGUUUGGAGGAAUUCCUUUUGGAGGAUCUCUGAUGAGGACCGCUUGGGAAGAAUCUCUUGAGAGAGGCUCUGGAGAAGGGAAGCUCUUGGAGGACAAUCUCUAAGGAGGUCUCGCUGGAGCUCCUCUAAGGGGACUCUGUCCCUCUGGAGGCUCUGGAGAGAGGCCCUUUGGAACAGUCUCUGGCUGGAAAUCUCUCUGAUGAAGUCAGCUGAGAUGGAGCUGGCCUGGUGUCACUAGAAUCCUUGUUUAGGCAGACCUUGUGGUGAAUGUUAAAAGACUGACUGACUGAUUCUCUCUCUUAAGACUCAGGUCUAGGCCAUAUUGGCUUGAGGCCCUUCAUAAUUAUUCCUUUCCUACUCUUUCUCUCUUUCUCUAAUUCCUCAUUAUAUUAUUAAUUAAAAAUCUCUAUAAAACCCAGUUGACUUCGGUAUUUGAAUAAUUGGGAAUAUUUCCCUGGCGACCACCUUAUAUUUGAUUUAAAAACCAAGACACUGUAGUGAAACAUAUUUUCUGCGGUCAAAUUUACUCACCCUCUCUUAUAUCUAUCACAAUUUAUAUCUUCCAUUAUUUUAAUCACUACAGUUUAAGACCUCAACCAUUUUAAAUCUCACAAUAAGCAGCCCUGAAAAGGGCCAGGUAAGCUGUCACACUGGAGAUGUUAAUCUUCCCUGAACACCCCAUACACAACAUAUGGUUAAGAGAAGAAGUCUUGGUUAGAACUUCUUUCAAGAAAUCUUUUCUAAUUACUACCACUCAUGGGAAUCUCUCCCUGUUAAAA